Molecule: non-coding RNA, 280 nt
Organism: Peromyscus maniculatus bairdii (prairie deer mouse)
Lineage: Eukaryota; Metazoa; Chordata; Mammalia; Rodentia; Cricetidae
Source: RefSeq, a predicted model, not a curated record
GACAACUCUCUGUGGAGGUUCAAGAGAACUAAAUUCAAGUGAGCUGUAAAUUGCACCCUGAGCUGAGUAUGAGUAAUGGAAACCAGGAGAAGCCAAGCCAUGGACCCGGGAUUGUCCCCACAGUAGAAGAUGUCCACUUGAUUGUUUACAGAUGUUCAUUGCAAAUUUUCAGAACGUCGAGGACUCCUGUAGAGAUAGUUAUCUGCAAAGCGUUUAGUUUGUUCUGUACUCGGGACAUUAUAUCUCUCCACAUGACAAGCACCUGGGAGAAAAGUUUUGU